UGGAGGCUCAGGAGCUCAAGUCCAGUGAUAUUUUCUUCUAGAGAAGUUCCAGCAAAGUCUCACUGGUUCUGACUGAGUCAUCUGCACCAAUUAUGCUGGGUCACGACUCAGGGGAGAACCAAGUGGGAAGAGUGUGAGGGGCAGAGGAAGACUCCAGCAUGGUGAUUCACACAUAGUGGACAUUAAAAUACUUGUUAAAUUAAUGAGUGAAGAGAAGAGCAACAGAAGAUGCAAUGGAAGAUAUUAAAAGGAAAAAAUGAAAGGAAAAUAAUUGCUAGAAAUCAAGAGUGGUAAAUAAAACAGAUUCGUAGAUAAGAUUAACCAAGGAACUACAGUUCAGUGGGCAACAAGAUGCCAGCACAGAAGAGAGGGUGGACUAAAGGCAGUGCAAGACUUGAAAGAGACAGCUGUUUACUCAGACAUUUGGUCUCCUGUUUCUUCCUGCCACCAGCUUACUCACAGAUCAGUGGGAACAUGCCUUGCUUCACUGGAAUUCAAGGUAUAGAACACUCAGAAGCAGCAUCAUCUUACCACAUUAUAAAGCAGUGCCAUUGUUUUCAAGAAAAAUAGGGCAAAUGUUUGUCCUGGAAAGCUUUAAGGUUAAAGAACUUGUGAGAAUGACCUACUGGCUGUUUCUUUCCAUAUUCAUUACCCAUUCCAGCUUCCGUUAUUUCUAUUUAUUUUACCCUUUCCCAGUUGAACACUUGUUGAGCUUGGGGGUAGGGUGGGGAAUGCAUUUCCUGAGUUCCUUCUUUCCUUUGCAUUCAUCCUACUUACUGAAACACACACACCUUGGAUGUCCAGUGUGUUCACACUUGAGAGGUCUUCCCUGGUCCCAGCCUCCGGCAUGGGAGGUCCUGUGUGUGCCUCCAGCACUGGGUCAGUUUGCUUGUCUUGUGAGCGUGCUUCCCUCAUGCCAGUCUGCAUGAAGGUGACACUUUUGUCUAACCCUCUUGUUUCA
Molecule: long non-coding RNA, 961 nt
Organism: Chinchilla lanigera (long-tailed chinchilla)
Lineage: Eukaryota; Metazoa; Chordata; Mammalia; Rodentia; Chinchillidae
Exons: 3
Source: RefSeq, a predicted model, not a curated record